GCUUAUGUUGUAUGGUUCGUCGAAACGAAGAAGGACUAAGCAGCUGACAGAUUCAGCAGACUGUGUACACUUGUCAUUUUCAUGCAUGGUAGUGUUUCAUUAUUAUUGACCGAACCAAUGCUGGGCUUCCAUGUAAAGAAAGUCACAGUCAUUUCCUGUGUAUACAUUUCCUUUCUAUCCAUUCAUUCAAAAAGCUGUAUUGUUUGUAUGUAGGGGCAUCGCUUUGGAAUACUCAGCAUCUAAUGUUUACAGGAUAUAGUGUAGCUUUGUCCCUCUUCACGUAAGGGGUUCCAGUCCAGGGGCCAGGCCGGGUCGGGCUGGGUUGGGCCGGGUCGAGCUGGGCUCCUCACAGGGGCCCGUUCACAAUACCGAUGGGGAUGGAUUAUUUCUGCGUUCCCACUUGUAGCGAUAUGGACAAUUUUAAUUAGGGUUGUUGGUUUCCUGGCUCUCCAUGCACUUUUGCUGCGUUGGAAACCCCAAGCAAGGUCGCUGCGAUCCGAGCUAGUUAGCUCACUUUUGGAAGGCACGCGAGGUCUAUUUCACGAGGCGAAACCAGGAUUAACGUGUCGCUGUGAUCUGAUUCGAAGGGUUUGGACCACCAGUGUGGCAGCGUGAAGAGGUGAAAAACGCCAGCGUGGUGGAAAGCCAGAUCCCAGAUGCUUAUCCACACGGCCAAUACAGUUGGAAGCCCGGUGCCGGAGGGUAUGUUGCACCGGCCUCGGUUCCAAAAUUGAAGGGGCUGCCAACUGAUCCGAUUAAGUUCCACUUUUGUCUGGUCACGCAUCUCCCGCGGCGUCCACUCACGGACCUCCGAGUGCGCCUUGGUUGCAUCAUCCCUGCGGCGCGAAGAUCCACCUUCGGUCGUAACUUGUUUUUUCCCUUGGUUUCUUACUACAUUACAGUGGAUUUGUCUCUGAUCCUUGCGGUGUGGUUGGGCAUGUGAUGAAGAUGAUGGUCGCAGGAAGGAAUACGACAGCGUGUUGAAGGAACUCAGGGACGGCGUCUUCGAUUUUCGAGAGCAAAGUCGAACUGAAGCUUUCAUUUGUCAAACUCUAGAUUGGAUGCGGAAAACAGUUUAUUGGAAGGGUGCUGGAAGAUUGCAUGCGUUUCAAAAUCACAUAGAGGAUGUUGGAAAUUGGACAGUUAUUCACCAGGAUUGCCCUUUACGAGAGGAUUGCUUGAUAUUGUCACUCCGCUACGGAUCAUUGCAGAAAAAUAUUACAAAUGGAUAGGCUGGUAUUCUAGCAAAUCAUAUGAGAAAUUCGAGUCCGUUCCUUUGCUCAGCCGUUCGCAUAGCUUGUGAGGUUCAGAUUUGUCGGAAGGACAACUCUGACGUGACAUUGAAUGAUCUUGUUCCGCUUAGCCUUGGGGUGCACUGCUCCAAUAUCGCUCUCUUCUACCAUACUUUGUAGAGCCCUUUCCAACUGCAAAGCUGAUACUUCGGUGUCCCCUUAACCCCCAUUCAAGUCGAGGAUAUUCUGGCUACUAAGUAGAGGUUUGAAAACCAUCAAUGUUUGGUGAGUGACGAUGAGUAUGGUGGACUUGCAAACCAGGGCAGAAGGUCUGAUCUCCUGUAUAGCACCCUUUGGACUUCAGUAACCUUUGUGUAUCAUUCAGUAUUGGGAGAAAUAUUCAGUAUAGUAUACUAGUUUCCAGUAUAGAAUACUAUCUAUUUAAUUGUUACCUUACACCAAGAGUUGUGACUCUUGGUGUCACACUUGUACACAUAAUAUAUUGUGUGAGAAUUGAUUAUAUUAGUAUAUAAGAUGUUUCCAA
Molecule: non-coding RNA, 1776 nt
Organism: Physcomitrium patens
Lineage: Eukaryota; Viridiplantae; Streptophyta; Bryopsida; Funariales; Funariaceae
Source: RefSeq, a predicted model, not a curated record